Long non-coding RNA from Etheostoma spectabile (orangethroat darter), 970 nucleotides. RefSeq lists it as uncharacterized. The transcript is spliced from 3 exons. Lineage: Eukaryota; Metazoa; Chordata; Actinopteri; Perciformes; Percidae. The record is from RefSeq and is a predicted model, not a curated record.
GAAUGUUUAACACUACACAGUUAUAAAAUAGCACUGCUAGUGUUGCCUGUGACUUAUUUACGUUGUCAGAUCAGAGUGUUAACCUUUUUCAUGCAGCCUACAAUGUUAAGGCAGAUGUAAACCACGCCCUCACGUAACGGCUGUCAAGGACAUAGCCAAGACCAAAAAACUUUCUCCUGCGCCAUUUUCUUUCACGAGGGGAAUACGCAAGAAGAAAUGCUGGUUCAAGUGAAGGGCAAGGGCAUCCUGAAAUGGGUUUUAAUACCAAUGAAGGAUGACAGCUAUGAUUACUUUCAGUUCAUUCAAGAGGUGGGGACGAGCAUGGUGCCAUUCCUUGACAGAGUUGGAUCAGCACAGCCUUUCCUCUGUGUUGGAGAAAAAAAGAGUAGCAUCCAGUGGUUUACACCAUUCCCUGCGUGGUGCACACAGGUGUGGCUGCCUUUGGCAAACUGUUUAAGGCCCACUUUGUCUCUGCCAUAUCCCAUGAUGAGGCCUUGUGCAAUUUCUUCACCUUCAUUCAGACUACCGUUUAUGGGAUUGACGUCGGCACUGCAAAAGAGUCCACGGGUCAAGGAAAUCUGGGCAAAAUUGAUCAUAUUGAAGUUUGAAAAUGUUCACCUGUUACAUUUGCAAGGUACAGCACAAAAGUUGCUCUGUUCUUUUUCAACAUUUGAAGUUUAGUCAUGCUUCGUACCCAGGACGUAAAUUGCUUUUGAAAUGUGGCGAGAAUGGGUGUUCUUCUGUUUUUUUGCACGUAUUUUGGACUUAAAAUACAAUUGAGAGUACAUGGAGACUGUGUCGCUUCAAGUUCUGUUAAUCCUUUGGACAAUGUUGACAGUAAUGUUAGUGUUCCUGAUCCACUGCCAAGUGCAGUUUCUUUGGUCAGUUACCCAGCUCCUCUUGAAAAAAGACAGUUACUGGAUAUGUGUAGUUCUACAAGCAUCGGGAGUCUCUGAAAGUACUGUGCAGU